RNAcentral lists this ribosomal RNA (253 nucleotides) under uncultured bacterium. RNAcentral's name for it is "partial 16S ribosomal RNA". It matches the Rfam family "Bacterial small subunit ribosomal RNA", at positions 524 to 776 of the family's 1533-position model. The record is from RNAcentral.
UACAGAGGGUGCGAGCGUUGUCCGGAAUCACUGGGCGUAAAGGGCGCGUAGGUGGCCCGGUCAGCGUGCGGUGAAAGCUCGGGGCUCAACCCCGAGUCGGCCGUGCGAACUGCUGGGCUCGAGCACUGUAGAGGCAGGCGGAAUUCCGGGUGUAGCGGUGGAAUGCGUAGAGAUCCGGAAGGACACCGGUGGCGAAGGCGGCUAGCUGGACAGUUACUGACACUCAACUACGAAAGCGUGGGGAGCGAACAGG